Prinia subflava (tawny-flanked prinia) is the source of this 5376-nucleotide long non-coding RNA. RefSeq lists it as uncharacterized. Lineage: Eukaryota; Metazoa; Chordata; Aves; Passeriformes; Cisticolidae. The record is from RefSeq and is a predicted model, not a curated record. The transcript is spliced from 2 exons.
GCCGAGCUACCUAAAAUCCUCAUUUUAGGAUAAACGCAGCUUCCCUUGGGAUCAGCUCUGCCGGAAGAUAAAUUUAAAGUGUUUCACUUUGAGCUGAGAAGUGUUUGAAUCAAGAGCGGCAGCCUUGCGGACUUUUGGGGAAUGUUUGGACUUCCCAUCUGCUGUCCUUCGUAUAAACCAUCUACCCUGGAAAGCCUCUUCUGCCCGGGUGGAGCCAUCCUCAUCCUGCAGGAGCUUCUAGAGGUGGGGAAGUGCCUCUUACGCACUGAAACCAAAAUCUCUCCCAAUCCAAAAAUUAUUCAUAAUUUUUAAUAAUCGACUCCAAUUUUUACUGGACCAAUUUAUAAGUCUGCUUCUGCUUUUAUGGUGCAGAAACCACAUAAUCCUCACUAGGAGUCUACUCAGCAGAAACACAAAACAAAAAAAGAGAGCGAUUCAUUCCUACAGAAACCUUGGGGAGCCAGAAUUUGCAUUGCUGAGGAGAAAAGUAAUGAUUUAAUUGAGAAAUGCUCCGAGAAAUAAUUACUGGAAAUAAGCUGUUUCUAAAGCUCCCAAGUAUGACUUUAGGGAAGUGGCAAGGACACUGAGUGUAGUAUUCCUAUAAAAAUGGAAAUACAUGCACGAGGGAAGAGUCUCCCUGUCAUCCCCCAGGCUAACGAAAAAGAGGAAGAAGGAAUAUAUCUGUGGAGAGGCAGUAGAGAUGGUGAAAUUAUUUAUUAAAACAAUUAAAAAUUCUGCUGUGUUCAUUCCCCAGUCACCGAAAUCUUUUAAUCAGUGCCCCUGGAUCCCUGGCAGUGUCCAAGGCCAGGCUGGACGGGGCUUGGAGCAGCCUGGGAUAGUGGGAGGUGUCCCUGCCAUGGCAGGGGUGGAUUGGGAUGAGCUCUAAGGUCCCUUCCAACCCAAACCAGUCUGGGAUUUUAUCAUUUUGUGAAUUAUUUUCUACAUGUUUAGAAGGAAAGCUGAAACCCAGAGCGUGGACUUGGCCCACUUUGGAGUGUGGUUCCACUGAAUGGGUCACUCAUGGAAUCAGGGAAUCUCCUGAGCAGGAAGGAACCCACAGGUUUGGGGAAAAACGCUGCCCCAGUUUUGUCCUGAUGUGAAGAAACCUGUUGUGGCAAAUUGCACUAAUUCAGAGCUCGGCUUAAUACACUGAAAUGGAGCUAAAAGCUUUGGAGAGAAGCACAGAGGAGCCUCGUGUGCCUCCACAGUGCCUCAAACCUUCUUUCCAGGAGCUGGUUAGGCCCAAAUGUCACUUCAGGCUGACUUGAGGCGUUUUGGUGCUUUGGAUACGAAGAGUUUUUGUGUGUUAGGUGUGGGCUUGGAGAGUGUGGCUGUUCCUUCUUUCAGCUGGCAGCUAAGGAAAUCCAUUUUAUGGAAUCCCCUGAGCUGGAAGAGACCCACAGGAUCAUGGAUGCAGCUCCAGGUCCUGCACAGACCCCCCAAAAUCCCACCCUGGGCAUCCCUGGGAGUGGGAUCCAAACUCUCCUGGAGCUGUGGCAGCCUUGGGAAUUCCCUGGGGAGCCUGGGCAGUGCCCAGCACCCUCUGGGGGAAGAACCUUUCCCUGAAACCCACCCAAAACAUGCCCGGACACAGCUCCGGCCAUUCCCUCAGUGCUGUCCCCGUCACAGGGAGCUGUCACUGCUGCACGGAGUGCCCUGUCCCGUGUCACACCAGGCCCACACGGCAGAGUUCAGUUCAGUUUUAUUUUCCACUGUAACGGGUUUCGAAUGAUACAUCAUGCAGUCUGCCAGUGUAUCCAUCCAUCUCCGACAGAACUUCCGCACGAAGAUAAAACACUUCUCUCCACGGGCUGGGGGGAGGAGGAGGGUUCGGGUCUGCUAAUCAAAAGUUUAGUACAGUCCAGCAUCAUCUGAUGCAAUGGCAAAAAAAAAAAAAAAAAAAAAAAAAUUCCCCUUGUUACCAGCAAAACGUGUCCACCAUUUAUUUUUUUUUUUUGGUUCGUUUGUUUUUUGUUUUUUUUCUCCUAAAUUGAACACUACUGUAAAGAUACACAGAGCCCAGAGAAUACACAUCUGCAGCACACGUUACACACUUUACAGACUAGACAGGGAUAAAUCUACAGAGCGCCGUGGGAGCGGUGCUGCCGUCCCGCACAGCGGACGGCGCCGGCGCGGGUCCUACAGGCACAGUGAGACAAAAGUCAAAGCAAGGGGAGAUUCAGAUUAUCCUGCCCUUUUGUUUCCCUUUGAUUCACCUCCCCUGCCCCGUGGAGGAGUAAUUCAGUCGUGGUUAUGUGAGGUAUUGCUCCUCCAGCAACGGGAAUCUGGUGAGCCCUUGUCUUUUGGACCUUCAUCACCGUUUUUUUUAAACAGUUCUUCCAAUAAAACCAUGUUCAAAUGAAAAUUCUUGAUUUUGGUUAUUUUCAAGCCGUAGAGCAGAGUUAGGUGGGGUAUUGGGAAGGAAUCCUGGAGGGUGGGCAGGCCCUGGCACAGGGUGCCCAGAGCAGCUGUGGCUGCCCCUGGAUCCUGGAAGUGUCCAAGGCCAGGCUGGAUGGGCUUGGAGCAGCCUGGGACAGUGGGAGGUGUCCCUGCCAUGGCAGGGGCUGGAAUCAGCAGAACUUUAAAAUCCCUUCCAACCAAACCAUUCCAUGAUCCUUUAAUUUAUAAAGAUUUCAGGCAAAUGUGCAUCUUAGUCCAUGAGGCUUUAUAAAGUGAAAUUGAAAAGCUACUCAAGGCUCUGUGGGCAGGGAGUGCUGUGGCAAAAUCUUUUUGGUGACUUAUUUUUAAGUAUCUUCAGGAUAAUCCAAAUCUCACCCUUGUUGAGUUUAAUACAAAACUUAAAAAUGCAUCAGCCAAGGUCUUUCCAAGCUUAAAACUUUCCUUGCUUUCCAGAAAACAAGUCAGUGAAACAUGAACUCAAAGACAAACACAAGAUAUUUGAACAUAUCAUUAAGAGAAGCUCAAGUGAGCCAGAAAUACUUUUUAAUUACUAGCAAAAAGAACAAUAUGCACUUUAGUUCCAUCUGAAAUCCAUUUUCCAUUCGGGAAUGGCAUUUCCACCCGAAUUUGUCCCAUGCAUGACAUUUCUAGAUGUGAAAUUUCAUUUGCGCUGUACAAACCACGACUUUAAAGAUGAGCCUGGAAUAAACAGAACACAACACUCAAAGAGCAAAGAAAGGAAGAUGGGGUCAGGAAACAGCAAGAGACAGGUUCUGCUCUCUGCAGAGCAGAGGUGUGGUUUUCCUUUCCAGGUAUAAAAUGUGAAAGCCUUAAAAAUGGUACAAAAGUUGAAUAUACAACACGCGAUACAAACUGAAGUCGCCUAAUUAAAAUAGGCUUCAAAAAUAAAAACUGAUACAAGCAGAGUAUGUUCAACUGAGAAUUCAUUCACCCUUUCCAAUUGUUAAAUAUCUCAGGUAUUCAAUUUUGAGGAUUUUAGCCUAAGGCAUCUUUGGGGCAUUGCUGAAGGUGCUCCUGCAGCGUUGGUGUGAAAGGGAACUUGGAGAAACUUCCUGGCUUUGCUGCUGGUGGCACUGACUGGCUGAUCAGCACCAGCACGAGGAAGAGGUGUCCGAGUUCCCUUCCCCCUGCAGCUGCAGGCAGCUGGCAGAACUGUCCCCAAAAAUCUCCCGGUGAUGCCUUGAGGAACCCAGACCUUUCUGCUGCGUUUACAGUAGAAUUCCGUACCAAACUCUGAGAGACACAACAAAAAGUUUGCCUACAGUACAAAAAAAUCGACAGCAAAUAAGCUUGGGAUCGUUUCCUAGAACCAAAACAAGAGGAUUUUUAAUUCCUAGUAGAAACCUCAGCUCUGACCAGCUGGUAAGGUAGCACAGAGUAGUUCUGAGUUAGUGAUUUUAUUAAAGAUUGCAUAUGGCGAGUUCACAGUUCAUUCUUCUGGCAGUGCACAUGCACGUAACGAAAGAAAAUAUAAAACUUUGGAAAAUACAAAAUAAAUUAAAUACAUGCAAAUCUGCAACUUCAUUAAAUAAGUUUAGCAAAAUGCUCCCCCAAAAUAGUGCAACAUUAAAAAAAAAACCCAAAAAACCAAAAAAAAACCCCAAAACUUAAAUUAAGUUCAACUUACUUUGCAACACCCUAAUUUCAGUAGAAAAAAAUAUCUAAAGUCAACUCACAAUCUUCCAAAACUCUCUACAGAACUAAAGAGUUCUACACCUACACAUUCAGAAAUUAAAAAAAAAAAAAAUCCCAAUCAAUCUCAAAGAAGAACAAACGCCUGCAAAAGAAGACCAGAGGGCUACACUUGGCCGGAGCCUUCCUGGAAUUCCAGCCUCCUGGAGCCUCCCUGGAAUCCCGGCUCCCUGUGGUCCCACCUGCCCAGGAGAUGUGGAGGGAGGAGGAGGAGGAGGAGCAGCACCUUCUGCCUGCCAGCAGAACCUUCCCGGAGCACUCGCAGUGCCCCCUUGCUGGGAAGAUGGAAAUUUGCUGUCUGAGACAUCCAAAAAGAUCCAAGGAACGCUUUUUCUUCCUUUUGCUUCCAGAGGAUGAGUGGAUAGAGUGGCUGAGAAAGACAUUCCCUUUCCCUGGCAUUGGCUCCUCACACCCCAGCAAAAAAAAUCCCAAAUUUGGUCUGCAAAGGUCGGCUCGAGUGUACAACUCUCACCUCCUUUGGGAUUUUUUUUAAGGAAGGGUUUGGAGGAUUUUAUUUUCCUUUGUUCUGGUAGGGGACUGUUCCCUCUGGGAUCUGAAUUCCGGUGUGAACGGAUCAGGGCUUUUCUGGGGAAAGGGGGAGGGGGGAGAUGCUUGCUGGAUUUUCCAAGGCAAGAUUUCCACAGCAUUUUGAAAUCCUUCAAAAAUUCCUAGGGAACGACUCUUACAAACACGUGGCUAAGCCAUCCCACUCCAGGAAAACCCACCACUGUAGGGAGAACUACAAGGAAACAGGAGCUUAAUUUUAAAACAGGUCACACAGAUAAAUUCAUGGAACUACCCAACUUCAAAUCCUAGGUCUAUACUAACAGAUUUCUCUGCAUCCCGUUUGUUCUUUACCAGGUACUGCAAUAAAGGUUAUUUUAUACAGUCCAAAGAUUUUUUUUUUUUUUUAAAUCAGGAUAUUACAAAUGGUUCCUUGGGGAAAUUUCCUUCCGAAAAUGUUAAGCAGUAAAAUUAAACCACAUAGCAGCACAUUUUCAUCCCCUAAAAAUAUAAAACAAUAUGUAUAUUAUACAGGAAAUCAGUCAUGACAGAGCACAAUCACCUGCCUUCGAUGGCACUUGGUCAUUGAAUAAUUAAUUCCUUGAUGCCAGAAGUCGGGAAUUACCGAUGCCAACGGAGGAAAAGAAAAAGAAAGCAUCACUCUGAGUGGAGAAGCCCCAACCUAAGCAGCGCCGAGGGGUGGUGGAAUUCGGAGUGGCAGACUCCCUAUCAUCCUUUCUGAGGUGGGAAUGUUCCAGA